This 403-nucleotide ribosomal RNA is filed under the name uncultured bacterium. RNAcentral's name for it is "bacterial SSU rRNA". It matches the Rfam family "Bacterial small subunit ribosomal RNA", at positions 355 to 775 of the family's 1533-position model. The record is from RNAcentral.
UGGGGAAUAUUGGACAAUGGGCGCAAGCCUGAUCCAGCAAUGCCGCGUGAGUGAUGAAGGCCUUCGGGUCGUAAAGCUCUUUUACCAGGGAUGAUAAUGACAGUACCUGGAGAAUAAGCUCCGGCUAACUCCGUGCCAGCAGCCGCGGUAAUACGGAGGGAGCUAGCGUUGUUCGGAAUUACUGGGCGUAAAGAGUACGUAGGCGGCUAUUCAAGUCAGAGGUGAAAGCCCGGGGCUCAACCCCGGAACUGCCUUUGAAACUAGAUAGCUAGAAUCUUGGAGAGGUCAGCGGAAUUCCGAGUGUAGAGGUGAAAUUCGUAGAUAUUCGGAAGAACACCAGUGGCGAAGGCGACUGACUGGACAAGUAUUGACGCUGAGGUACGAAAGCGUAGGGAGCAAACAG